AAAAAUUUAGUUAAAACAUAACAUUAGUUUGUCAAACUAAAAUUAUUUUAUUUAAAAUAAAUAAUUUUUA
Molecule: transfer RNA, 70 nt
Filed under: Curculionoidea sp. 18 KM-2017
Lineage: Eukaryota; Metazoa; Arthropoda; Insecta; Coleoptera
Description: tRNA-Asp
Source: RNAcentral